GGCACCCAUGACCUGGCAGGUGUUCCGCCCCGAGGUAUCGGGCGCGGAAUGAAACGGGAAGCAGGUGAGAAUCCUGCGCUGCCCCCGCAACGGUGAUGGGAGGGCCCGGGCCGCAGACGGCCCCGGGCGCCGCGAGACAGUUGAGCCACUGCGCAUUGGCGUGGGAAGGCGUUUCGCGGCAUCGACGCGCGUCGAUACUCCCCGAGCCCGGAGACCGGCCUGACAGGUUGCAACCGG
This 237-nucleotide non-coding RNA is filed under the name Thioalkalivibrio denitrificans. The record is from RNAcentral. Lineage: Bacteria; Pseudomonadati; Pseudomonadota; Gammaproteobacteria; Chromatiales; Ectothiorhodospiraceae.